Molecule: long non-coding RNA, 1430 nt
Organism: Salvelinus fontinalis (brook trout)
Lineage: Eukaryota; Metazoa; Chordata; Actinopteri; Salmoniformes; Salmonidae
Exons: 3
Source: RefSeq, a predicted model, not a curated record
CCCCCCCCCUUCGCACCUGAAAAAGGCACUCAUCCUCAACCCGAGAUUGUUGAAGGAUUUCGAAGGUGACGAAGUGUGUUCAGAUAGGUGAACUUGAGAGUGUACAUGCCCUGUACACUAAAUACGUGCCCAGGAGGAACAAGUUUGGCCUACAGGGGAUGCCGCAAGACUCCAGGUGGCUGCCUUAGACCACAAUUAUUCGGUGGACAGACAUCAGGCUACAACAAAUGAGGGAGUGCUCCGUUUCAAGCAAGAGUUCUCCAAGGCUGCCAGGGCAUUUGUGGUGAAAACCAUCAAGGGGGAGAAGACAUGGUGUUUCAGGUCUGAGCUUCUAGACUGCAUCGUUGACCGCUGUGCCAAUGGACCAUCCCAGCAGACUCUCUUGAGUGCCCAAAAAGAGAGAGUGGCGGUCACCUUAGGGAAGUGGACUGGUGUUCCGAAAAUGGAGAAGGAGCAGGACAUUCAACAGCGAAUUCAAAGAUACACCCAUCCAUAGAGGGAGUCGGAGUGGAAUUACUUUUCCACAGAUUUUUUUGGACCUGUUAAACAGACGUGUUUCCUUGUCUCGGACCUGCUGUUUCGACUUUCUCUCCCGGACCUGCUGUCUCGACCUCCGAAUGCUCGGCUAUGAAAAGCCAGACGACAUUUGCUCCUGAGGUGUUGAACUGUCGCACCCUCUAUAACCAUUGUGGUUGUUAUUAGUUUGAUGUAAAAAGGGCUUUGUAAAAUACAUUUGAUUUAUUGAUUGCUUGCUGUGUUGCAUGCUGUGUAUUAACUGUCUGAGUGAUGGGACAUUUUUAUAGUAUCUAACAUAUUUUGGUGUGUAUUUAAUCUGCAACUUAACUUCUUAAAGCAGCAGAAAAAAAUAACAAAGUGUUCUCCAUGCCCGAUUCGGUGAAAAACUCAGGGAUGGGGCUGGAGAAAUUUAACCAGUCUCAAAUUCAUAGACAGAGCAAUCUGUGGAAGGACUGGCUAUCCAUGAUAUCAAAGUUAUAGUUUUAACCAUGUUUUGGGGCUAUACUGUGUUUGUUUAAAUGUGUUUUUUUAAUUUUUUACAAACGUUGGAAUAAAACAAGCUUAUAUUUUGGGUUCUGAUGGGGUACGACAGUUGAACUAAGCUCAUGAGACAUUUAUAAGUCAUAUUCUUUAAGAGUCAAUGGGAACAUUUCAUUAAUUUAUAAGUGCAAAAAUGUAUGUAGAAAUUGCUGUUUGCUCCUUUUAGGUAAGCUACUGUUGUAGUGUCUAUUGAUCUUGUGCAUACAGGCAAAGACUUGCAACCACAGCCUUUCCUGUGAAUCCUCUUCUUGUUAUAUUGGAACUUGUAAAAACAACGUAAUAACCCUGUAAUUUACUAUGCAUUGUAAUCCUCUUUCUGUGAUCUGUUUCCACCACCAUGUACCCAGUCCGCUUUGGAUAAAAGCAUCUGCUAA